This 4816-nucleotide long non-coding RNA is filed under the name Sus scrofa (pig). RNAcentral's name for it is "lncRNA (ENSSSCG00000043800.1)". Lineage: Eukaryota; Metazoa; Chordata; Mammalia; Artiodactyla; Suidae. The record is from RNAcentral.
UUUUUUAGUAUUAAGAUAAAGGGAGAGAGAGUCUUGCCAUCCCUCAGACACAGCUAUCACUAGGUUUCAGGGAGUAUCCCUAGCAAAUUCAUUUUGGUUGGUCUGAUUCUGUUGGAAGAUGUAAAGUUGCUUCUCAUCUACCAGGAGAGGCAUCAUGGACAUCCAUAAUUCUCCUCCUUGGAAAUCGCAGGAUCGCAAGGCAAAUGCCUAGACCAACAAAGUCAGAACGUCUAAGAACAGGACUUGGGCAUGUGCAUUUUAAGAGUGCCCCGGAUGACUUUAUUGUGCACCUUGAGAAUCACUGGCUUGGUGUUAAGGCCCCAUGGGGGUUUAGAAAUCACCUGACCCAGUGCCAUAGAAUAGUGAAUGUGAGCUCUAUACACAAGACAAAACAUCACAGUAUGAGUGGGAAAAGCUAGCUGCAGAACAGAGGUGCAGAAAGGGCAAAUUAUAAAAUGUACCUUCCACUAUUAUACAGUCUCUGUUUUUGUGUUUAGGUUUUUUAAAAGUCUACAAGUGGAUUAGAAAGAAGGUUAAUUUUCAGGUGGUUUUCUCUGAGGGAAGAGAGGAUAAAGGGGCUGAAAGGAGCUCCAUCUUCUGUCCUGCUGUACUUCAUUUCUAUUUUAAAAACAGGUCUUGAAACAAAUAUUACAAAAUGUUACCAAUGUUCUCUUUUGGCUGGAAAGUAUGUACUUAAUUAUAUUUCUUUGUGCUCUUCUAUUUUUAAAAAAAUGUUCUCCAACAAAAAUGAUCAUCAAUUAAAGAAUAAAAUCUAGCAUCUAGGUUUUUCUAAAUGAGAACUAUGAGGCCCUGAAGCGUAAUUGACAUGAUAAUCAUGCCAAGGGCAGGGCCUGGGCCUCUGGACUCCCAUCCGAGGGCUCUGCCAUUGACCUAUGCAGAGUCACAGAUGGUGCUGCCAGGAAAGCCCUCCUCAGGGAGUUCUCCCUCUCUUAGCAUCCCCUUAACCACCUCCUCUGACAGGUUCCCAGCUUCCUGCAGGCAGAGGCUCAGGGCUGUGUGGCUGCAGGCUGCUUUCUCCCUCUUGGCCACUAUCCAGCGCGGGGGAUGCUCAGAGGCCCAGCGCGGUGCGUUCAGCUUGGGCAGCUCGGCCCCUGGGCCCUCGUGACCCAGGCAGGCGGCUGUCUGUGCCUCCGCAAGGCUGGCGCCCCAGUGGGCGUUCCCAGGCGGUAACCCUGCAAAGAAGGCAAUCAGCUUGCUAGUAUCUAUGCUGAGAAGCCCCCUCUGAAGGCAGCGAUUCAGACAUAAAGCUAGAUGAAUGUGUUUCGCUGCAAAGCCUGCAGCUGGAUUUUCAACUAGCACUGGAAAGGUGUUGAAAUUGGGAGACUGAAGAGAUCUGCUCUUUUGAUUCGGGCACUUCAGGAUUUUGCAGGCUCCGGACGGCCCUGGUCCAAAGCAAAGAAUCUCCCUGUGAGACUAAGCUAAAAUUUGGAAAGUCAGCUGCGUAAAUAAUUUUCUCUGAAUUAAAAGCAAGCACACGGUUGCAUGUGCUGCUUUUCCUUCCCUCUCUUGUUCUGAUGUGGCUGGCUCCCCUGUCACUGAGCUGUUUGAAUGAGCUGGGCUUUUCCUCUUUCCUAGCAAGCACUAGUGUAAAAGCCAGCGGGUGCCUGAGAACAGAUGAAGGGCCAUGUUCCUGGAGUAGGAGUAUAGCUGCAAUUAUGCCAGGCAAUCAGAGGCUUUAAUGGAUGAAUGGUUGUCACAGCACGGUUGGGUGUUUGAUAACCUCUAAGGUUGCUUAUUGUGAGUGGAAACCACAAGGUGAAAAAAAGAGACAGGGAUGGAUGAGCCUGUGUUUCUUUCACCUCCUUGCCUUUGAAGAUUUUGACAUUACUUCCAAGUACUCCUUAGGGAGGAUACUCUUGGGGGCCCAGCAGGAUUUUGCUUUGAGGAAAGAGGAGGAGAGCCAUAAUUAAGGAAGAAAAUGCAGAAAUUUGGGGUAGGGCUGCACAUUGAAUGCAGGAAUUCAAAGCACAAAAGUUCCAUGGAGGAGAAAGUGACCAAAGCCCCAUUAUCCAGUAUCCCCAAAGGAGGAACUGGAAGCACUGAGAUAGGAUCCCCACCCAAGGUCUCCAAAUAGAAAAUAGGGAGAUAGGAAGGAGAAGCAUCUGCUUCACUUUUCAUUCAGUGUCCCUCAGGAUUUUGGCAGCUCCAGAAAUUGAGCUCAAGUAGUAUUCCAGGCACCAGAGUGUUUUAUUGCUGGAUUGCAGCAGAAGGAAUUUUCCUUAAUGUUUGGAAACAAGAGGGCAUUGGCUCUCUAAUGCAGGGACAUCAGAUAGAGCUCCAUUUACUUGCCAAUCCCGUUUGAAUGGCAGUGGCUUGUUGGAACAUUCAGUCAGGAAUGGUUUUAAGGCCAGAUCUAGGCUCCCCAGAAGAAUGGUGCUUGAUUGAUUAGUGAUGUCUGCUUGGGUAUGGCAUGGGGAGGGCAUAUAUAUAUGGGCUUCCCAUUUGUCUCUCUGCUUUGGGAUGCCUUCCCUUCUGUAGGGGCACCAUCACCACUGACAUCAAUGUGAUAAACUUGAUAUAAUAAUCUUUGCUUUAGAUUCUUCUGCUAAGAAGCUUUUGACCUAAAAGGGAAGGUCAGCAAUGGUAUUUUUUAGGUCCUAAGGAAUUGGAUAGUGUAUGAUUCAAGAGGCACUGAAAUGCUCUUUCACUGGCUCACCUCAGUUACCAAAUGCCAGCAGACCUUAUCCAGAGAGAACAGACCUUUCUUCAUAGGUUCAUCCUCUGAAAACUAAACAGCCUAUACUUAGGCUCAUCUUCCCUGAAUUAAGCAAUGAGAAAUUUGCAAUUAUAUGGCUAAAAUAAGUGUUCAGUGACUAAGUCUUCUUUCAAGAGCCUGAGGUAGGUAGUUUUGAGCACAAAUCCACUUACGCAAUAUGUCCGUGGGCUUUUCAAGCACAAAUAGAAGUUAUGGUGAAAUAAAUAAAGAAGAGUAGUUGGAACAGAACUUUGCACCAAUGUCUUUCUGCCUGCAGGAGGUAGGAAAAUCCCAGAAAGGAUGACUCAAUAUUUGAAUCAAAACAGAACUGAGUGGAAGGACAGGAGAGGAAAGAGAAAAGAAAGAGGGAGGGACUCAAACCCUACUGCAGUAACUCCAGCUCAAGAAAAAUGUGAGAUACUCCAGUCUGUCAUUAUAGCCUGUGGUGGGCCAAAUAAUGGCCCCCCCCAAAGACAUCCAGGUCCCAAACACCUGAUCCCCCUACAUAGUAAAAGGGAUUUUGCAGGUAUGAUUAAGAUUCUUAAGAUGGACUCACUGUAAUCACAAGUUAAACUUGUAUCCACUUGAUAUGCAGAAAUAAGAAAUUAAGAUAGAAUGCAUGGCUGACUUAUAAUGAAUUGUCUCCUCCAUUCCCAUAGACUUUAGGCUUUUGAGAGCAUUACUCCCAUAAAUGCCUGUUCUUAGGAAUUAUGGCCCCACCAUGUGUUGUUUAGAAUGAGUUUUAGUCACACAUUUCAAUCAGCCUCAGUGGUGUUUGUCUAAUGGCAAGUUUUGUCCACAUAAAAGGAAUUCCAAGCUUAAGCACCUGAUUCCUAACCCCUCUACAUGUAAGGCUGCCAGCUUAGCACCAAAGAAAUAUCUAUGUCCUGGAUAGAAAGAAUAUUUUUGUGGGAAAUCCUUAAAAUCCAAGCCCGUGAUCUAUGUUUGCCAUGAAAAGUUAUUAUCAAACUCACAAUUUUAUUAUUUAUUUAUUUAAAAAUUGUAUGGCUGCACCCACAGUAUAUGGAAGUUUCUGGGCUAGGGAUUGAAUUUACAGUUUAUGGUGGAGCUGGGGUGAUGCUGGAUCUUGGAUUGAACCUAUACUUUGGCAGCAACCCAAACUGCUGCAGUUGGAGGAUUCUUGACCCACUGAGCCAUGGUGGGAACUCCAAAGACCCACAAUUUUCUUUUUUUUUUCCCCAGUGGCUUUUAAUUGCUCUAUGUCAGUUAUGAGGCUAUGAGACACUUCUUUAUACCACCCUUCCUCUAUCACAGUGAUGGAAAGAAUUACUCCAAUUGGGCAUAUGGACUAAAAAGCAUCUGUAUCUUGUCAGGCUAGUUAAGAUAAAAGACAUUGAAAACUUCUUUCUGAGAAUAAAUCUGCAGGUUCCACAAGGCCAGGACCAGGGCUUGUCUUUAGCCAUCAGUGAGUCUAGCAACUAGCAGAGCACCUGGUACAGGGUAGACACUCAAGCACUAUAUCUCAGUUGAAUAAAUGAAUGAAUGAAAAAGUAUAAAUAAUCAUUGAUGGUGGUCAUUCACUAUGCAAAUUUCCUUAAGGAAAAUGACAUAUGAAGAAAAAGCUAGAGAUUAUUGCUGAGUUUUGCUAGAAAUAUAGUGGUCUUUAAAAUGGAAGAAAAUAAGAUUUCUCUGCAUGUGAUCCUUGGUAUAAUUACAGGAGAUUUUAAUUUUCUCCUUUAUCUUUGUGUUUUUAAUUUUUUUCAAGUUGAAUAUGAUUUACAUUUAUAAUCAGGAAAAAAAUUUGUUUUGUUUUUUAAAGUAGAUUACUAGGAAAUAUGGUUAGUUGGCUAGAGUUGGAUGACUUCCUUGGGGAUGGAUUUAGCUGUCAGAGGGAGGCAUUAAGCUCAUAGUUGAUUAUUGAUUCUUGGUUUUCUUACGGGAAAGUGAGACAUGGAAAUAGCCAGGAGGUAAGAUUUAGUGUUAUGGUCAGAAGCAAUGACUGGAAUCAGACCUUGAGCCUGUUUCUUCCUAGCUGUUUGAACUAUUAAACUAGUCACCUAGUUCUCUCAGCUAUGAUAUUCCCUUCUAUAAGACGGAUAAACAUCCCUUACAGGAGUACUCAGAGGUUAAAUGAGAUAC